This 21-nucleotide non-coding RNA is filed under the name Caenorhabditis elegans. Lineage: Eukaryota; Metazoa; Nematoda; Chromadorea; Rhabditida; Rhabditidae. The record is from RNAcentral.
UAGUUUUUAUCCGGACAACCU